This 346-nucleotide ribosomal RNA is filed under the name Limosilactobacillus fermentum. RNAcentral describes it as "bacterial SSU rRNA". It matches the Rfam family "Bacterial small subunit ribosomal RNA", at positions 350 to 688 of the family's 1533-position model. The record is from RNAcentral. Lineage: Bacteria; Bacillati; Bacillota; Bacilli; Lactobacillales; Lactobacillaceae.
UGCAGUAGGGAAUCUUCCACAAUGGGCGCAAGCCUGAUGGAGCAACACCGCGUGAGUGAAGAAGGGUUUCGGCUCGUAAAGCUCUGUUGUUAAAGAAGAACACGUAUGAGAGUAACUGUUCAUACGUUGACGGUAUUUAACCAGAAAGUCACGGCUAACUACGUGCCAGCAGCCGCGGUAAUACGUAGGUGGCAAGCGUUAUCCGGAUUUAUUGGGCGUAAAGAGAGUGCAGGCGGUUUUCUAAGUCUGAUGUGAAAGCCUUCGGCUUAACCGGAGAAGUGCAUCGGAAACUGGAUAACUUGAGUGCAGAAGAGGGUAGUGGAACUCCAUGUGUAGCAGUGAAAUA